UACGGAGGGUGCAAGCGCUAUCCGGAUUCACUGGGUUUAAAGGGUGCGUAGGCGGGUAGGUAAGUCAGUGGUGAAAUCCUGGAGCUCAACUCCAGAACUGCCAUUGAUACUAUCUAUCUUGAAUAUUGUGGAGGUAAGCGGAAUAUGUCAUGUAGCGGUGAAAUGCUUAGAUAUGACAUAGAACACCCAUUGCGAAGGCAGCUUACUACGCAUAUAUUGACGCUGAGGCACGAAAGCGUGGGGAUCAAACAGGAUUAGAUACCCUGGUAGUCCACGCCCUAAACGAUGGAUACUCGACAUACGCGAUACACUGUGUGUGUCUGAGCGAAAGCAUUAAGUAUCCCACCUGGGAAGUACGUUCGCAAGAAUGAAACUCAAAGGAAUUGGCGGGGGUCCGCACAAGCGGUGGAGUAUGUGGUUUAAUUCGAUGAUACGCGAGGAACCUUACCUGGGCUAGAAUGCUGGGAGACCGCUAGUGAAAGCUAGUUUUGUAGCAAUACACUGCCAGUAAGGUGCCGCAUGGCCGUCGUCAGCUCGUGCCGUGAGGUGUUGGGUUAAGUCCCGCAACGAGCGCAACCCCUAUCUUUAGUUGCCAACAGGUAAUGCUGGGAACUCUAAAGAAACUGCCGCCGUAAGGUGUGAGGAAGGAGGGGAUGAUGUCAGGUCAUCAUGGCCUUUAUGCCCAGGGCUACACACGUACUACAAUGGGGGAGACAAAGGGCUGCAACAUAGCGAUAUGAAGCCAAUCCCAAAAACUCCCUCUCAGUUCAGAUUGCAGGCUGCAACUCGCCUGCAUGAAGCUGGAAUCGCUAGUAAUCGUAUAUCAGCAAUGAUACGGUGAAUACGUUCCCGGACCU
RNAcentral lists this ribosomal RNA (857 nucleotides) under uncultured bacterium. Its description in RNAcentral is "SSU rRNA". It matches the Rfam family "Bacterial small subunit ribosomal RNA", at positions 524 to 1381 of the family's 1533-position model. The record is from RNAcentral.